This 76-nucleotide transfer RNA is filed under the name Escherichia coli. RNAcentral's name for it is "tRNA-Asn". It matches the Rfam family "tRNA". From Rfam's summary of the family: Transfer RNA (tRNA) molecules are approximately 80 nucleotides in length. Their secondary structure includes four short double-helical elements and three loops (D, anti-codon, and T loops). RNAcentral also lists the same sequence under 8 other names. Lineage: Bacteria; Pseudomonadati; Pseudomonadota; Gammaproteobacteria; Enterobacterales; Enterobacteriaceae. The record is from RNAcentral.
UCCUCUGUAGUUCAGUCGGUAGAACGGCGGACUGUUAAUCCGUAUGUCACUGGUUCGAGUUCAGUCAGAGGAGCCA